Molecule: ribosomal RNA, 513 nt
Filed under: uncultured bacterium
Lineage: Bacteria
Description: partial 16S ribosomal RNA
Rfam family: Bacterial small subunit ribosomal RNA
Source: RNAcentral
GACGAACGCUGGCGGCGUGCUUAACACAUGCAAGUCGAACGAAAAGAGGGAAAGAGCUUGCUCUUUCCGGAAUUGAGUGGCAAACGGGUGAGUAACACGUAAACAACCUGCCUUCAGGAUGGGGACAACAGACGGAAACGACUGCUAAUACCGAAUAAGUUCCAAGGGCCGCAUGGCCCAUGGAAGAAAAGGUGGCCUCUACCUGUAAGCUAUCGCCUGAAGAGGGGUUUGCGUCUGAUUAGCUGGUUGGAGGGGUAACGGCCCACCAAGGCGACGAUCAGUAGCCGGUCUGAGAGGAUGAACGGCCACACUGGAACUGAGACACGGUCCAGACUCCUACGGGAGGCAGCAGUGGGGAAUCUUCCGAAAUGGGCGACAGCCUGACGGAGCAACGCCGCGUGAGUGAUGACGGCCUUCGGGUUGUAAAACUCUGUGAUCCGGGACGAAAAGGCAGAGUGCGAAGAACAAACUGCAUUGACGGUACCGGAAAAGCAAGCCACGGCUAACUACGUG